Long non-coding RNA from Ictidomys tridecemlineatus (thirteen-lined ground squirrel), 2221 nucleotides. The record is from Ensembl. Lineage: Eukaryota; Metazoa; Chordata; Mammalia; Rodentia; Sciuridae.
GAUCCCAGAGGCAGGGACUGUGCCUGCUUAAUUAAUUUAAUUCUGUUCCUCCCACUGGACUCAGCUUUGUGCUUUGUACCUAGAAGUAGUCAGUGUGAAACCGAAAUGAAUUAGGUCAGAGGGAUGUAAUGGUGGGGGAUAGAGAAAAAGUUUGACCCAUCUCAACCUUGAGGCUGUGGUCUGUGGGUUUGUAAGGCUUCAGGUGAGCAGGAUGCUCGGGUGAGUGGGGGGAAAGGAGGGGGGAGAAGGGAGAGGGAGAAAGGCUCUGGAACCUGGUCAUCGCAGGAAACCAGCAGCCACUGAGCUAUCCUCAACAACUAGAGAAGAGCCUGCAGCUUCCAACUGUUUACCUCCUGGGUACCAUGGAGACUGCUGACUGGUUGCCAUAGCAACCCUGGGCUUAGCCAGAAGCAGCGACCAACCGCUCACAGAUAGUGAAUGAGGAUAGAAAAGACAUAAAAACAGGCGCAUCAAAGGCAAGGGCACACGCAGUCCUGGCUGAAGUCCAAGGGAGCGUGAUUGAGAUCCUGCAUCGACUAGUCUGCCACCAGAGAGCCGCUCUUCACUAGCUCCUGACAAUUCUGCGCAGUCGAGGACCCUCUCUGAGGUUGAAUAGAGGCUGAAGAGGCCACACUGUGUUUAGCUGGAGACAACUAUCUUAGAGUGAGGAAUCCUAAAGUCCCAACAACAGAAUAAAUUCACCUGUUUGGAUCCCCAGCCUGAGUAGGGUCCGGUAGAGGCAGCCCCGCAUCCCCCACCCUCUGCUUCACAGGGGUCCCCUUCAAAUCGCUGACACAACUGCCCCAGUGCAGAACGGGCCCAGGGACACCGGGCAGGACCCCUGCCUGGAGCAAGGGGAUCCAAGCAGCAGUGGAGACCCUUCCCCACUAGCCGGAGUGGAGGCUCCGCAUCUGGGUGCAGUGUCGUGGGAGAGGGUGUCACCGAGUGGGAGGACUCCUUCCUGACCCCAUCAGAGCCAGCCCUGUUCCUUCUGCCUCCUUCCCCGACGGCUCCGCGGGCUCAGCCCAGCGCGGCUACCGGACGGAAAGGGGGCGAGCCAGAAGCAAGAAAGCAACAAAAUCCGUCUGUCAACUUUGGAGUCUCUCCGGGCUGCGCACGGCCACCUUCGACUCCUUCCUCGGAUUUUUACCAGUACAGUAAUCCACACGGGGUGAGGACACGGCCGAUACCCGCGAGUCUGAAGUUUAAAGGUGGAGAUGCGUAUAAUGUUUAUAUAUAAACACUAAUUGUAGGGAGGAUUUGAAAAACUAGUCUUCCUUGGGGAUCAAGUGUAUUUCUCCUUUCAGAGUUUUUAUUUUCUUCGAUCACACCAGACAACCUUGACUCCCUGAACUGAAAGUCAAAACUCACCAGUCCAGCAAAUAUUUCAUCAUCUUCUACCCCAGUCAAAGGAAUUUGAGUUCUUUUUGGAGAAAAUAACUUUAUUCAAUAAAGCCUCCACUUUCCCCCCAAAUCACUUUCCCACGGAAGGGGCAUGUCUAAGGACACCAUCAAGAAUGAAGACCUGGGCUGGGGUUGUGGCUCAGAGGUGGAGUGCUCACCUGGCAUGGGCAAGGCCCUAGAUUCAAUCCUCAGUACCAUAAAUAAAUAAAUAAAUAAAUAAAUAAAAUAAAGGUACCGUGUUCAACUACAAGUAAAAAAAAAUAUAUUAAAAAAAGUAUGAAGACCUAAUUCCUACUGCCCCCCCCAAGCAGAUCCCACAGCAGUCACCACCAUAGAACUUCCCUAGGACCUGUAGCCCAUAGCAUUUCCUGAAAACACCCAUUAAAUUGCUUAUUCAUGGAGCAGCUUAUCUAGAAAACUCUUAAGACUUCAAGUUCAUGCACACUUGAAAGGAAAGAUGAAGUACUAGUUUUCACUGAAGCAAUAAUUAGAGUGACAGGUAAGACUGUGUGCGCGCGCGCGCACACACACACACACACACACACACACUCAGGAAGCAAAAUCUAGAAAAAGAAUUUCCCUAAAGAAAUGGCAGGCUUAUUCAGAUGCAAAGAUUUCUGGUAGUGGGAGAAUAAAUCAAUGGUAGUGGUUAAUCAAUAAAACAAAGUUGAAGCCACAGAAGUUGGAGGAGUGGUGGAUUCUUGUUUUAUCAUUUGGGCUUCUGGAAAGAACUUGAAAUUACUUCAAGAUGAGAAAACAAAAUUUAUAGGAUUCCAUUUUAUCAGGACCUUUAGUGUGCUUAUUCCAAAGACUCUCA